UGGGCCUUGGGGGAAACCCCUCGGAGCAGGGGGGCACUAGCCGGGCAACCGGCCGGCGCCCCCCAGCACUGGGGCGGGGACGCCCUUGGCAGGCUUCGGCCGUCCGGCGGGCGCUUAACGACCAACUUAGAACUGGUACGGACAAGGGGAAUCUGACUGUC
RNAcentral lists this ribosomal RNA (161 nucleotides) under Aspergillus fumigatus. Its description in RNAcentral is "partial large subunit ribosomal RNA". It matches the Rfam family "Eukaryotic large subunit ribosomal RNA", at positions 1971 to 2142 of the family's 3401-position model. The record is from RNAcentral. Lineage: Eukaryota; Fungi; Ascomycota; Eurotiomycetes; Eurotiales; Aspergillaceae.